AGUGAACGCUGGCGGUAGGCCUAACACAUGCAAGUCGAACGGCAGCACAGUAAGAGCUUGCUCUUACGGGUGGCGAGUGGCGGACGGGUGAGGAAUACAUCGGAAUCUACUUUUUCGUGGGGGAUAACGUAGGGAAACUUACGCUAAUACCGCAUACGACCUACGGGUGAAAGCAGGGGAUCUUCGGACCUUGCGCGAUUGAAUGAGCCGAUGUCGGAUUAGCUAGUUGGCGGGGUAAAGGCCCACCAAGGCGACGAUCCGUAGCUGGUCUGAGAGGAUGAUCGGCCACCCGGGAACUGAGACACGGUCCAGACUCCUACGGGAGGCAGCAGUGGGGAAUAUUGGACAAUGGGCGCAAGCCUGAUCCAGCCAUACCGCGUGGGUGAAGAAGGCCUUCGGGUUGUAAAGUCCUUUUGUUGGGAAAGAAAAGCAGCAGGUUAAUACCCCGCUGUUCUGACGGUACCCAAAGAAUAAGCACCGGCUAACUUCGUG
This 492-nucleotide ribosomal RNA is filed under the name uncultured bacterium. Its description in RNAcentral is "partial 16S ribosomal RNA". It matches the Rfam family "Bacterial small subunit ribosomal RNA", at positions 29 to 507 of the family's 1533-position model. The record is from RNAcentral.